RNAcentral lists this long non-coding RNA (2297 nucleotides) under Strigops habroptila (Kakapo). RNAcentral describes it as "lncRNA (ENSSHBG00005002073.1)". Lineage: Eukaryota; Metazoa; Chordata; Aves; Psittaciformes; Psittacidae. The record is from RNAcentral.
UUUUUUUUUUUUUAUGACUCUUCCAUGAUGAUUGGCAGCCGUCAGGAGCAGGACUUUGACAGCCCUAAAUUAUUUCCCUUUCUCUCGCUGGUUCCCUUAAUUCAUGCAAAGUCCUUCUACAGAGCUCGAACUUUAGGGACCAACAACCUCUCCUUCUCCCACCCUCCCCCCGGCGUCCGUCCCUCCCCCCCUUUUCUCCUCAGGGUCAGUUUUUCGGCAUGAGGGCGUUUAUUUCCAUAUUUUUUUGUUCUAUAGCUAUACCUAUAUAUAUAGAUAAAUAUAUAUAUAUGUAUUUGCUUCCCUAUGCAGUCUGCUUGUUUUUAGUGCUGUGUGCAUAUUUUCUUUUCCUUUUUUUUUUUUUUUUCUUUUUUUCCUGGAAAAAGUGGCCCCUUUCAUUUUGCAGAAUAUAUAGAUAUAUAGAUAUAUAUGUUUUCAGAGUGGAUGUCUGCCUUGCACCAAAAUCCUACGGUUUGGCCAAGAAAAACAGGGUGCUGGAAUGCAGCAGGCACCCUCUGAUUAACCAGAUUAUUUUGCUUCUGCUUCCCUAUUUUUCUUUUUUGAUUGCUCCCAUUCGGAAAAAAAAAAAAAAAAAAAAGGGAGAGAAAAAAAAUUAAAAAAGGAAAGAAAAGGGGAAAAAAAAAAAGGAAGGAGAGAGAAAGGAGAAAAAAAGUUUCCGUGAUUCAUAGAAGAGAGCCCUUUUGGGGAUAGGGGGGAGAGUGCGGGGGGGGGGGGAGGAGGGGAGAGAAGAGGCGCAGACACCAGUGGUGCUCCUUGCUGCGAGAGGGGGCUAAUUUGGAGAGUGAAAAUACAAAUAAAAAUAAUAAUAAUUAAAAAAUAAAAUUAAAAAAGAAGCUUGAGCCCACCCGCCUAAGCCCUCUCCCCACAGCCACCCCCCCGGGCACAGCUGCAGUUUUGGUGCAUUACGCUUCUCCACCCCGCUUUCCCAACGCGGUCUGAACGCUCUCGCUCGGAUCGACCCUUCUCCACCGCUCCCUAUCGGUAUCGAUCUUAUAUAUAUAUAUAGAUAUAGAUGCACGCGUCUAUCCAUAUAUAUAUAAACACAAGCAGUCUGAACGAGCCUGGAUCGUGUGUGUGUGUGUGUUUGUGUGUGUGUGUGCGUGUGUGUGAGUGUGUCCGGGUGAGCGGGCGGCUGUGCGCGCCGGUGGCGGUGGCUGUGCCCGUCCCGGCCCCCUCGCCCCCCGGCCCGCCCGUCGGUGCCCCUCACUGCACGCUGGCCUGCAGUCCGUGGUGAGGAGGCGGCGUGUCGGAGUUGACGGUGCCGACCUGGGAGUAGACAUCAUCGGGGGUCUGCUGCUGGAUCCCCGGGGGGGUCAUCCGUUUCUCUUUCUGCCUCCGAUUGCAAAACCAAACCCUGACCACCUCCUUCUCCAGCUGCAGGCUGUCCGCUAGGUUCGUAAUCUCCUGGGCGGAGGGCUUGGGGCAUUUCAGAAAGUGGCUCUCCAAGGCCCCCUUGACACUCACCUCGAUGGAGGUCCUCUUCUUCCUCUUCCUGCCCUGGGCGGCGAUCUUGUCGAUGCUGGUGGGGCUGCCCGUGGAGGAGUCGGCUUCCUCCAGCCACUUGUUCAACAAAGGCUUCAGCUUGCACAUGUUCUUGAAGCUGAGCUGCAGGGCCUCGAAGCGGCAGAUGGUGGUCUGCGAGAAGACGUUGCCGUAGAGGGUGCCCAGCGCCAGCCCCACGUCGGCCUGGGUGAAGCCCAGCUUAAUCCGCCGCUGCUUGAACUGCUUGGCGAACUGCUCCAGGUCGUCCGAGGUCGGCGUGUCCUCGUCCGAGUGCGGGUCGUGGCUGUUGACGCCGCCGUGGUGCGGCGGGUGGUGGCCGGGGUGCUGGUGGUGAUGGUGGUGGUGGUGCCCGGGGUGCUCGCCUAGCUCCGGCGUCUCGCCGCGCACCAGCCCCGGGUGCACCAGGCUCUGCCCGCCGGGGGGGGGGCUCAGCAUGCCGUUCACCGUGAAGCCCCCGGGCUGCGAGUAGAGGAGCGACUGCUGCUGCUGCUGCCCGCCGGCCAUGGAGGGCAGGUGGGCGGCCGCCGCCGCGCCCCAGGCCGCCGGGUGCCCCUGGUGCGGGGGGCCCAGGUGGGGCGGCCGGUGGUGCAGCGCCGCGCCCGAGUGCAGGUCGUCGCGCCCGCCGCUGCCCUUGACGUCGGGCGGCGGCGGCGGCUGCUGGGGGCUGCCCGUCAUGCCCACGGGGCUGCCGGACCAGGGCGAGCCCGCUUCGGCGGCGGCGGCGGCAGCGGCGGCGGAUGCCGUUGCCGGGGAGGUAGGGGUUAGAGGUGGCCGCG